RNAcentral lists this ribosomal RNA (890 nucleotides) under Alcaligenes faecalis. RNAcentral describes it as "bacterial SSU rRNA". It matches the Rfam family "Bacterial small subunit ribosomal RNA", at positions 568 to 1463 of the family's 1533-position model. The record is from RNAcentral. Lineage: Bacteria; Pseudomonadati; Pseudomonadota; Betaproteobacteria; Burkholderiales; Alcaligenaceae.
UGUGUAGGCGGUUCGGAAAGAAAGAUGUGAAAUCCCAGGGCUCAACCUUGGAACUGCAUUUUUAACUGCCGAGCUAGAGUAUGUCAGAGGGGGGUAGAAUUCCACGUGUAGCAGUGAAAUGCGUAGAUAUGUGGAGGAAUACCGAUGGCGAAGGCAGCCCCCUGGGAUAAUACUGACGCUCAGACACGAAAGCGUGGGGAGCAAACAGGAUUAGAUACCCUGGUAGUCCACGCCCUAAACGAUGUCAACUAGCUGUUGGGGCCGUUAGGCCUUAGUAGCGCAGCUAACGCGUGAAGUUGACCGCCUGGGGAGUACGGUCGCAAGAUUAAAACUCAAAGGAAUUGACGGGGACCCGCACAAGCGGUGGAUGAUGUGGAUUAAUUCGAUGCAACGCGAAAAACCUUACCUACCCUUGACAUGUCUGGAAAGCCGAAGAGAUUUGGCCGUGCUCGCAAGAGAACCGGAACACAGGUGCUGCAUGGCUGUCGUCAGCUCGUGUCGUGAGAUGUUGGGUUAAGUCCCGCAACGAGCGCAACCCUUGUCAUUAGUUGCUACGCAAGAGCACUCUAAUGAGACUGCCGGUGACAAACCGGAGGAAGGUGGGGAUGACGUCAAGUCCUCAUGGCCCUUAUGGGUAGGGCUUCACACGUCAUACAAUGGUCGGGACAGAGGGUCGCCAACCCGCGAGGGGGAGCCAAUCUCAGAAACCCGAUCGUAGUCCGGAUCGCAGUCUGCAACUCGACUGCGUGAAGUCGGAAUCGCUAGUAAUCGCGGAUCAGAAUGUCGCGGUGAAUACGUUCCCGGGUCUUGUACACACCGCCCGUCACACCAUGGGAGUGGGUUUCACCAGAAGUAGGUAGCCUAACCGUAAGGAGGGCGCUUACCGCGGU